UCCGGUUGAUCCUGCCGGAGGCGACCGCUUUGGGAGUUCGAUUAAGCCAUGCGAGUCGUGAGUCUUAGGGACUCGGCAUACUGCUCAGUAACACGUGGAUAACCUGCCCUAUCGUCUGGAAUAACCUCGGGAAACUGAGAACAAGGCCGGAUAGCCCACAAUGCCUGGAACGGUUUGUGGGUGAAGCAUACAGUAGGAUGGGUCUGCGGCGUAUCAGGUUGUAGGGGGUGUAAUGGACCUCCUAGCCAUCGACGCGUACGGGUGUUGGGAGACAUAGCCCGGAGAUGGAUUCUGAGACACGAAUCCAGACCCUACGGGGUGCAGCAGGCGCGAAAACUUCACACUGCAGGAAACUGUGAUGAGGGAACUCCAAGUGCUAUCACUAUGUGGUAGCUUUUCUUGACUAUUAAUCGGUCAUGGAAUAAGGGCUGGGAAAGACCGGUGACAGACGCCGCGGUAAUACCGGCAGAUCAAGUGGUC
RNAcentral lists this ribosomal RNA (480 nucleotides) under uncultured archaeon. RNAcentral's name for it is "bacterial SSU rRNA". It matches the Rfam family "Archaeal small subunit ribosomal RNA", at positions 1 to 493 of the family's 1478-position model. The record is from RNAcentral.